RNAcentral lists this unclassified non-coding RNA (347 nucleotides) under soil metagenome. RNAcentral's name for it is "partial contains 5.8S ribosomal RNA, internal transcribed spacer 2, and large subunit ribosomal RNA". The stretch from base 1 to 120 matches the Rfam family "5.8S ribosomal RNA", at positions 35 to 154 of the family's 154-position model. The record is from RNAcentral.
GAUGAAGAACGCAGCGAAAUGCGAUAAGUAAUGUGAAUUGCAGAAUUCAGUGAAUCAUCGAAUCUUUGAACGCACAUUGCGCCCGCCAGUAUUCUGGCGGGCAUGCCUGUCUGAGCGUCAUUUCAACCCUCAUGCCCCUAGGGCGUGGUGUUGGGGAUCGGCCAAAGCCCGCGAGGGACGGCCGGCCCCUAAAUCUAGUGGCGGACCCGUCGUGGCCUCCUCUGCGAAGUAGUGAUAUUCCGCAUCGGAGAGCGAUGAGCACCUGCCGUUAAACCCCCAACUUUCCAAGGUUGACCUCAGAUCAGGUAGGAAUACCCGCUGAACUUAAGCAUAUCAUAAGCGGAGGA